This 112-nucleotide ribosomal RNA is filed under the name Paenimyroides marinum. Lineage: Bacteria; Pseudomonadati; Bacteroidota; Flavobacteriia; Flavobacteriales; Flavobacteriaceae. The record is from RNAcentral.
UAAGGUGGUUAUAGCGUCGGGGCUCACCUCUUUCCAUUCCGAACAGAGAAGUUAAGCCCGAUUGCGCAGAUGGUACUGCGUCAUAGCGUGGGAGAGUAUGUCGCCGCCUUUU